Molecule: long non-coding RNA, 252 nt
Organism: Coregonus clupeaformis (lake whitefish)
Lineage: Eukaryota; Metazoa; Chordata; Actinopteri; Salmoniformes; Salmonidae
Exons: 3
Source: RefSeq, a predicted model, not a curated record
CGGUCACUACCUCAAGAAGUCUGAUAAGAAGCUGAGCUGAGACUAGAUGGUGAAAUUCGAACGCAAGCUAUGUUCCAAGUUUAUGGUUCCAGCAGCUCUGCAGUGCCAUGAGGAGCCUUGUAAAAUUGCCUUUAAAGAAAAGGCAAACCAUUUACCAGCAGGUGGAUUCAUUCCAUGAAGCUGUGUUGUGUUUCCUGACAAGUGCUGUGGACUAUGCACUUAAGAAGCUGCCACUGGAAGAGCCACUGAUCA